RNAcentral lists this ribosomal RNA (164 nucleotides) under Ficus satterthwaitei. RNAcentral's name for it is "5.8S ribosomal RNA". It matches the Rfam family "5.8S ribosomal RNA". From Rfam's summary of the family: 5.8S ribosomal RNA (5.8S rRNA) is a component of the large subunit of the eukaryotic ribosome. Lineage: Eukaryota; Viridiplantae; Streptophyta; Magnoliopsida; Rosales; Moraceae. The record is from RNAcentral.
AACGACUCUCGGCAACGGAUAUCUCGGCUCUCGCAUCGAUGAAGAACGUAGCGAAAUGCGAUACUUGGUGUGAAUUGCAGAAUCCCGUGAACCAUCGAGUCUUUGAACGCAAGUUGCGCCCGAAGCCAUCAGGUCGGAGGGCACGUCUGCCUGGGCGUCACACG